CCUACGGGGGGCAGCAGUGAGGAAUAUUGGUCAAUGGACGAGAGUCUGAACCAGCCAAGUAGCGUGAAGGAUGACUGCCCUAUGGGUUGUAAACUUCUUUUAUAUGGGAAUAAAAUGUUCCACGUGUGGGAUUUUGUAUGUACCAUAUGAAUAAGGAUCGGCUAACUCCGUGCCAGCAGCCGCGGUAAUACGGAGGAUCCGAGCGUUAUCCGGAUUUAUUGGGUUUAAAGGGAGCGUAGGUGGAUUGUUAAGUCAGUUGUGAAAGUUUGCGGCUCAACCGUAAAAUUGCAGUUGAAACUGGCAGUCUUGAGUACAGUAGAGGUGGGCGGAAUUCGUGGUGUAGCGGUGAAAUGCUUAGAUAUCACGAAGAACUCCGAUUGCGAAGGCAGCUCACUGGACUGCAACUGACACUGAAGCACGAAAGCGUGGGUAUCGAACAGGAUUAGAUACCCGGGUAGUC
This 460-nucleotide ribosomal RNA is filed under the name uncultured bacterium. Its description in RNAcentral is "partial 16S ribosomal RNA". It matches the Rfam family "Bacterial small subunit ribosomal RNA", at positions 338 to 795 of the family's 1533-position model. The record is from RNAcentral.